Molecule: ribosomal RNA, 305 nt
Filed under: uncultured bacterium
Lineage: Bacteria
Description: bacterial SSU rRNA
Rfam family: Bacterial small subunit ribosomal RNA
Source: RNAcentral
UCCUACGGGGGGCAGCAGUGAGGAAUAUUGGUCAAUGGGCGCGAGCCUGAACCAGCCAAGUAGCGUGAAGGAUGACUGCCCUACGGGUUGUAAACUUCUUUUAUAAAGGAAUAAAGUGAGGCACGUGUGCCUUUUUGUAUGUACUUUAUGAAUAAGGAUCGGCUAGCUCCGUGCCAGCAGCCGCGGUAAUACGGAGGAUCCGAGCGUUAUCCGGAUUUAUUGGGUUUAGAGGGUGCGUAGGCGGUCCGUUAAGUCAGCGGUAAAAUUGCGGGGCUCAACCCCGUCGAGCCGUUGAAACUGGCAGG